GUCUUUUUGUUAAUAAUUUAAAGUCUAGCCUGCCCACUGAUAAUUUAAAUGGCUGCGGUAUUCUGACCGUACAAAGGUAGCAUAAUUAUUAGUUUCUUAAUUAGGAGCUUGUAUGAAAGGUUGGACGAGGGAAUCUCUGUCUCAUAUUAAUUUUUAUUUGAAUUUUAUUUUUAAGUUAAAAAGCUUAAAUAAAUUUAGAAGACGAGAAGACCCUAUAGAGUUUUAUAUUAUUUAUAUUGAAAAAUUUAUUUGAAUAGUUAUUGGUUUUGUAUAAGUAGUAUUUUGUUGGGGUGCCAGGAAAAUUUGAGUAACUUUUCUUAUAUUUGAACAUAGAUUUAUGAGUAAAUGAUCCAAUUAUUUUGAUUAUAAGAUUAAAUUACCUUAGGGAUAACAGCGUUAUUUUACUAGAGAGUUCAAAUCGAAAGUAAAGUUUGCGACCUCGAUGUUGGAUUAAAAUGCAUUAUUGGUGUAGAAGCUAAUAAAUUGAGUCUGUUCGACUUUUAAAAUUUU
RNAcentral lists this ribosomal RNA (510 nucleotides) under Hololepta plana. Its description in RNAcentral is "partial 16S ribosomal RNA". It matches the Rfam family "Bacterial large subunit ribosomal RNA", at positions 1819 to 2597 of the family's 2925-position model. Lineage: Eukaryota; Metazoa; Arthropoda; Insecta; Coleoptera; Histeridae. The record is from RNAcentral.